This 429-nucleotide ribosomal RNA is filed under the name Bacillota bacterium. RNAcentral describes it as "Firmicutes bacterium partial 16S ribosomal RNA". It matches the Rfam family "Bacterial small subunit ribosomal RNA", at positions 355 to 776 of the family's 1533-position model. The record is from RNAcentral. Lineage: Bacteria; Bacillati; Bacillota.
UAGGGAAUCUUCGGCAAUGGACGGAAGUCUGACCGAGCAACGCCGCGUGAGUGAAGAAGGUUUUCGGAUCGUAAAGCUCUGUUGUUAGAGAAGAACGUUGGUAGGAGUGGAAAAUCUACCAAGUGACGGUAACUAACCAGAAAGGGACGGCUAACUACGUGCCAGCAGCCGCGGUAAUACGUAGGUCCCGAGCGUUGUCCGGAUUUAUUGGGCGUAAAGCGAGCGCAGGCGGUUCUUUAAGUCUGAAGUUAAAGGCAGUGGCUUAACCAUUGUACGCUUUGGAAACUGGAGGACUUGAGUGCAGAAGGGGAGAGUGGAAUUCCAUGGGUAGCGGUGAAAUGCGUGGGUAUAUGGAGGAACACCGGUGGCGAAAGCGGCUCUCUGGUCGGUAACUGACGCUGAGGCUCGAAAGCGUGGGGAGCAAACAGG